GACAGAGGAUGCAAACGUUAUCCGGAAUGAUUGGGCGUAAAGCGUCUGUAGGUGGCUUUUUAAGUCCGCCGUCAAAUCCCAGGGCUCAACCCUGGACAGGCGGUGGAAACUACCAAGCUGGAGUACGGUAGGGGCAGAGGGAAUUUCCGGUGGAGCGGUGAAAUGCGCAGAUAUCGGGAAGAACACCCGUGGCGAAGGCGGUUCUCUGGGACGGUACUGACGCUGAGACGCGAAAGCGUGGGGAGCGAACAGG
This 253-nucleotide ribosomal RNA is filed under the name uncultured bacterium. RNAcentral describes it as "partial 16S ribosomal RNA". It matches the Rfam family "Bacterial small subunit ribosomal RNA", at positions 524 to 776 of the family's 1533-position model. The record is from RNAcentral.